GAUGAACGCUGGCGGCGUGCCUAAUACAUGCAAGUCGAGCGAACAGACGAGGAGCUUGCUCCUCUGACGUUAGCGGCGGACGGGUGAGUAACACGUGGAUAACCUACCUAUAAGACUGGGAUAACUUCGGGAAACCGGAGCUAAUACCGGAUAAUAUAUUGAACCGCAUGGUUCAAUAGUGAAAGACGGUUUUGCUGUCACUUAUAGAUGGAUCCGCGCCGCAUUAGCUAGUUGGUAAGGUAACGGCUUACCAAGGCGACGAUGCGUAGCCGACCUGAGAGGGGGAGCGGCCACAGUGGAAAGGAGAAACGGACCAAACCAGGAAGGGAGGCAGGGGUAGGAAAUCUUCGGGAAGGGGAAAAAGCCUAAAGGAGAAACGGCGGGGGAGGAAUAAAGGGUUAGGGAGCGUAAAACGUUGUUAAUGGGGAAGAAAAAAUGUGAAAGAAAAUGGGCACGUCUGAACGGAACCUAAUAAGAAGGCCAGGGGAAACUACGG
Molecule: ribosomal RNA, 496 nt
Filed under: uncultured bacterium
Lineage: Bacteria
Description: partial 16S ribosomal RNA
Rfam family: Bacterial small subunit ribosomal RNA
Source: RNAcentral